UACAGAGGAGCCAAGCGUUGUCCGGAUUGACUGGGCGUAAAGCGCACGCAGGCGGACGCGCGCGUGGGGUGUGAAAUCUGGCCGCUUAACGGCCAGGCGCCAUCCCAUACGGCGCGUCUGGAGUGGUGCAGAGGUCGAUGGAAUUGCCGGUGUAGUGGUGAAAUGCGUAGAGAUCGGCAGGAACACCCAGGGGGAAACCAGUCGACUGGGCAUCUACUGACGCUGAGGUGCGAGAGCGUGGGGAGCGAACCGG
Molecule: ribosomal RNA, 253 nt
Filed under: uncultured bacterium
Lineage: Bacteria
Description: partial 16S ribosomal RNA
Rfam family: Bacterial small subunit ribosomal RNA
Source: RNAcentral